UACGAAGGGUGCGAGCGUUAAUCGGAAUUACUGGGCGUAAAGAGCACGUAGGCGGUUUGAUAAGCGGAAUGUGAAAGCCCCGGGCUUAACCUGGGAACUGCAUUCCGAACUGUCAGGCUAGAGUAUGAUAGAGGUGAGCGGAAUUUCCUGUGUAGCGGUGAAAUGCGUAGAUAUAGGAAGGAACAUCAGUUGCGAAGGCGGCUCACUGGAUCAAUACUGACGCUGAGGUGCGAAAGCGUGGGUAGCGAACAGG
This 253-nucleotide ribosomal RNA is filed under the name uncultured bacterium. Its description in RNAcentral is "partial 16S ribosomal RNA". It matches the Rfam family "Bacterial small subunit ribosomal RNA", at positions 524 to 776 of the family's 1533-position model. The record is from RNAcentral.